UGCUCCGGUAGUGUAGAGCCUAACAGCGCACAUUGGUCUAGCAUACGAGACUGUCACUCUUGCGACCCGGGUUCGAAUCCCGGCCGGGGCGU
RNAcentral lists this transfer RNA (92 nucleotides) under uncultured archaeon. Its description in RNAcentral is "tRNA-Ala(agc)". The record is from RNAcentral.